RNAcentral lists this long non-coding RNA (1278 nucleotides) under Hordeum vulgare. Its description in RNAcentral is "long non-coding RNA (HVUL_LNC002420)". The record is from RNAcentral. Lineage: Eukaryota; Viridiplantae; Streptophyta; Magnoliopsida; Poales; Poaceae.
ACCUAAUUUUGUACUAGAAAUACCGCUCUGUCAUCUUUGGCCGAAGCUCAAAAUAGUAUCGCACAUGCAGGGUUGAUAGGAUGUGAAAUGUUCUAACACAGGAGUUGUAGUGGUGAAAUUUUAUCUCAUUUCAAUAUGCACAUUUUUGUCUCGCUAUCCCCUUGGUUAGAGUCUAUUGAAGAGCCAAACUACUGGAGACGGGGGUUUCCUAUCGUUGCCCCCCAUCGCCCCACACAUCCACACAGAGUAGCUCCUCCCAAGCUCGAUGACCUUGUUGUCAAGCCAUCAAGAUACUAUUUUGUGGGAAGUUGAUAGCGUUUGUACAUGAUUUUUUCCUAUGUGGAUGGGCAUGCCCUCAAAUUACUUGCAUGUCAUAGCGGAUCUAUUACUGAUUCUGCAUGAUUAUACAAAUCUGAUUUCAUACAUAAACAAUUGUACUGGAUCUGUAAUGAAUUAUGUAAAUGUAUGUUAACCGACUGAAUGCUAUAAGAGUGGCGUAUUUUUAAUAACAAUGUCAUGGAUAUAGGUUCUGGGGUAAUAAGAAAUUACACAUCUCAUAAGUUAUUUGGAAGUCUCCUAGUUCCAUCGUUGACCCCGAAUACAACCACCAUGAAGUGGAAGCGGUAGGAACAACAGGAGGGGCAGGAUCUGCAGGAGUUGCAGCAUAAGGGCAACAUAAGGGGAAGUUGUUAUUGCAGGAGCUACAAAGGCAACAUGAAUGUCAGGAGUUGUGGCUGGAGUAGCAUGAGUGGAAACAAUAGUAACUACAGUGGUAUAUGCAAUGCAUAGAGUUGUAAUUGAAGUGAAAAUAGUUGUAGCUGUCAUUGUACCGGCAGUAGGAGCACUGACAAUUACAAUGACAAAAACAGUGGGAUUAGUUGGACCAGUGACAAUAGCAAUAUGAGGGGCAACGACAUUAGUAAUGACAACUAUUUAUACUGAACUUUUUAACUUCAUUGUAACUAAUCUUAUGAUUGAAACCAUGUCAUAUGUGUUAUUUGUACUUCCUUUUCAAGUAUGACUAGUAUACUAAUAACGUAAACUAUUAAUAGAAAUAUUUGUAUGCAACUUGAAUAUUUGUCAUUGCAAACACAUUUUGUUGUGUUCAAAUGUAAAUGUAUUUUUGUAGUUUUAUUUUAUUUAUUUUCAUAGAUAUUCCUUUUUAUUUUUGCAUUUGUUUUACCUUAGAUCCAAGGAAACCAAAAUCGCCACAUUAUUUAUGCCUAUUGGUGUAUUAUAAUGUAUGUAUAUGCGUCCUUGUUCAUAUUAUCCUUCAAC